RNAcentral lists this ribosomal RNA (254 nucleotides) under uncultured bacterium. RNAcentral's name for it is "partial 16S ribosomal RNA". It matches the Rfam family "Bacterial small subunit ribosomal RNA", at positions 524 to 776 of the family's 1533-position model. The record is from RNAcentral.
CACGUAGGGGGCAAGCGUUGUCCGGAAUCAUUGGGCGUAAAGAGCUCGUAGGCGGCUCAGUAAGUCGGGUGUGAAACCCUCAGGCUCAACCUGGGGACGCCACCCGAUACUGCUGUGGCUAGAGUCCAGUAGGGGAGUGUGGAAUUCCCGGUGUAGCGGUGAAAUGCGCAGAUAUUGGGAAGAACACCAGAGGCGAAGGCGGGUUGCUGGGCCGACACUGACGCUGAGGCGCGAAAGCCAGGGGAGCAAACGGG